GAUGAUGAUGAUGAUGAUUAGGUAUCACCAUUUUUGAACACUGUUGCGUUGCUCUGCACAAUACAUAGAAAAGCGAGGAUAACUGUGACUGCGCACAGGGUUAACAAUCAUUGACGGAUGGGUACAAAUUUAUUCGAUAAAAAUCAACAUGUAUAAAAAUGGUGGACUGCUACGCUCAUUUCGUGACCCAGAGUAUAUUUAUGUGAAAAUAACGACUCUAACGACAAAUCCAACCCAGUUAAGAUCACUGUCAGGACCAUUUCCUGUAUUGGUGGAGGAGAAAACUGAUGCUCCCUCCUAUUGGGAUACAGAUGCAGAGAACUCGAUAUUCAAAAGCUGGAGCUACAGCUGCGGCAAAUUAAAAUGGAAAUUAUGAUGGCAGUGGCCUACUUGAGUUUCACAAAACUUCCACUGAGAUUGAGACCAGCAUGCAAGACCAAAGUCAAAGAACACAACAAGAUUCACAAUAUGGAAUCGAAAGGAGCUGACAGGGUAGACUGAUAUAUUAAAACACAGAUGAUAACACAGAAAGAAGUUUCAACAGCGGUAGUCUUCGAUAUGUUAAAGAUACUGCUGUGGGUGUACAUGGACUUCUGAAGCAUCAGUCUGAUUUACCAGCAGAGCUGUGAAUGCAACAUCUCUAGCCAGAAAUAAUUUUCCUGAGCAGCAUGCAUAUUCUUCAGGAUCCCCUACAUCUCUACAUAGAGGGACACGCAAACAGCCACAUCAUAUUCCUGAGGACCUUUACAUCUCUACAAGGAGGGACACACAAACAGACACAUCAAAUUCCUGAGGACCUUUACAUAUCUACUAGGAGGGACACAUAAACAGACACAUCAUAUUCCUGAGGACCUUUACAUCUCAACAUAAAUGGUCACACAAACAGCCACAUCAUAUUCCUGAGGACCUUUACAUCUCAACAAUGAGGGACACACAAACACCCACAUCAUAUUCCUGAGGACCUUUACAUCUCAAUAUAGAGGGACACACAAACAGACGCAUCAUAUUCCCGAGGACCUUUUCAUCUCUACACGGAGGAACACACAAACAGCCACAUCAUAUUCCUGAGGACCUUUACAUCUCAACAAUGAGGGACACACAAACAGCCACAUCAUAUUCCUGAGGACCUUUACUUCUCAACAAUGAGGGACACACAAACAGCCACAUCAUAUUCCUGAGGACCUUUACAUCUCAAUAUAGAGGGACACACAAACAGCCACAUCAUAUUCCUGAGGACCUUUACAUCUCAAUAUAGAGGGACACACAAACAGCCACAUCAUAUUCCUGAGGACCUUUACAUCUCAAUAUAGAGGGACACACAAACAGCCGCAUCAUAUUCCCGAGGACCUUUACAUCUCUACACGGAGGAACACACAAACAGCCACAUCAUAUUCCUGAGGACCUUUACUUCUCAACCUAAAGGGUCACACAAACAGCCAAAUCGUAUUCCUGAGGACCUUUACAUCUCUACAAGGAGGGACACACAAACAGCCACAUCAUAUUCCUGAGGACCUUUACAUCUCAAAAUAGAGGGACACAGAAACAAUCACGUCAUAUUCCUGAGGACCUUUACAACUCAAAAUAGAGGGACACACAAACAGACACAUCAUAUUCCUGAGGACCUUUACAUCUCAAAAUAGAGGGACACACAAACAGCCACAUCAUAUUCCUGAGGAUCUUUACAUCUCUACAAGGAGGGACACACAAACAGCCACAUCGUAUUCAUGAGGACCUUUACAUUUCUACAAGGAGGGACACACAAACGGCCACAUCAUAUUCCUGAGGAUCUUUACAUCUCAAAAUAGAGGGACACACAAACAGCCACAUCAUAUUCCUGAAAACCUUUACAUCUCAACAUAGAGGAACAGAUAAACAGCCACAUCAUAUUCCUGAGGACCUUUACAAGUCAAAAUAGAGGGACACACAAACAGCCACUUCGUAUUCCUGAAGAUCUUUACCUCUCAACGUAGAGGGACACACAAACAGCCACAUCAAAUUCCUGAGGACCUUUACAUCUCAACAUAGAGGGACACACAACAGCCACAUCAUGUUCCUGGAGACCUUUACAUCUCAAUAUUUAGUGACACACAAACAGCCAUAUCAUAUUCCUGAUGACCUUUCAGCAAAUUGAGUUAUUGUCCUGUGUUACGUUUCUUGAUCAGAAUCAUUUUUGAAAACUACAGGAUGUAUUUCAACUACUGUCUACACACCACAGUUAAGCACAAUGAGAAUAAGUAGAGUGUACAAGAAACUGUUAAAGCUACUAACAGAUCGUUUGCCCUUUGUAACUUUUUCAUAACCAACUGGCUCCGAUUUCUCGAAACUACUUAAGUUUUACAGGCUUAAGUAGCUUAUUUCAAAAUGCCAAAAUAUAUACUUAACUAGAUUUUGAUAAAUCAUAAAAACCUCUUCUGAUAAUCAUGAUGAUAAUUCCUUUCUCAAGUAUAAAAUAUCUUAAAGAAGUAAACAUUACGCAAUUUAUUGAAAUCCAAACAUAGUGAGCUUAGCUUAAUCCUGUUUAAAGGGACUUCAGAAGAUUCGAGAAUUCGGGGCCAGAGCAUUUCUUUAACAUUUCUAGAUCAAAUUCAGUGGAGCUUCAUUCAAUGAUAGAAUUGAAUGAGAGUAAGUAUAUUAUAUAAGAACUAUUAGUCAAGUUAAGCUUUUCGCAGUUAUUGCCAUGUAUGACAUUUUUCCUUGUCCAUAACUUAAAAAUACUUGUUAGAACUUAAUUAAACUACAUACAAUUGUAAAGCACAGUGAUGGUUAGAACUUAAUUAAACUACAUACAAUUGUAAAGCACAGUGAUAGGAAGUAAAGUAUACAUAACACUAUUAUACCUUAUAAAGAUGGCAUUAUUCCCCUGUCCGGAACAUAACUACUUGAUGAAACUUUAUGAAACAUUUUUUUAAAGCACAAUGAGCGGAAAUGCACUGUAUGAAAAGCAUAACUCUAUUUCAGCUCAGUGCAGAGCUACUGCCCUUUGUCACUUUUUUUGUUCGGAAAACUUAAAUACUACUCGAUGGAAUUUAAAUAACAACUCUUUUUUAGGGAAUAUUAGAAUAAUAAUGAAUGCUUCACUUGUUUCCCUAGCGCCGGCUGGUGUCUCAGUUUGUUGAAGGAUUUGCAUAAUAGCAACAAUACAUUCAAGAUCUAAGCAAGUAUAUCUUGUAUUGAUUAAAAAAAAAUAUAUGUGUUCCCAACAUAACUUAAUAAUUAUUAAUGAUUCUGUUUGAUUAUACGUAUAGGAAAACAAAGCAAAUUAUGGACAUUUUUCUUUUGACAUGGACAUUCUGAUUAAGGUUUUGCAUGUAAGCACACACAUCAGCCAUUAGUUGAUGCAUUGAUUGUAUUUCGACUUUAUACAAUGAUACUCAACCGUUCAUCCCAAUCAAAUAACCAAGUUUAUUUGUGACAUUUGUACUCAACUAUCCAACCUCUGAUUAGGCCAAUUUUAUAGUUCUUUUGGGUUGAUUAUGGCUUGUACGUCAAAACAAAUUGUUUAAGUUGUGCAUGUAAGAAAACAUAGCAUACUUGAUAAAUUGCAUUGAAACUUAAUACAAAGGUACCAUACUGUCUUUUAAGUAGUGUUUGUUCCUUUUUUAUUCAAUUUCUUCCGUCUGGUUUAGGUUUUGCAUGUUAUCACAUUUAAUUCAAUAGCUCAGCAAUUACAUCAUGUACUACACUUUAUAAAAAAAGACGCCCUAACAGUCAUAAUUUUGCUUACGGUUUUGCUUGUUAGCAUAUGAAAUUCAAUCUAACAUCUAAUCCAUGUAUUGUUUUGAAAC
Molecule: long non-coding RNA, 3785 nt
Organism: Mya arenaria
Lineage: Eukaryota; Metazoa; Mollusca; Bivalvia; Myida; Myidae
Exons: 6
Source: RefSeq, a predicted model, not a curated record